UUAAGCGACUAAGCGUACACGGUGGAUGCCCUGGCAGUCAGAGGCGAUGAAGGACGUGCUAAUCUGCGAUAAGCGUCGGUAAGGUGAUAUGAACCGUUAUAACCGGCGAUUUCCGAAUGGGGAAACCCAGUGUGUUUCGACACACUAUCAUUAACUGAAUCCAUAGGUUAAUGAGGCGAACCGGGGGAACUGAAACAUCUAAGUACCCCGAGGAAAAGAAAUCAACCGAGAUUCCCCCAGUAGCGGCGAGCGAACGGGGAGCAGCCCAGAGCCUGAAUCAGUAUGUGUGUUAGUGGAAGCGUCUGGAAAGGCGCGCGAUACAGGGUGACAGCCCCGUACACAAAAAUGCACAUGCUGUGAGCUCGAUGAGUAGGGCGGGACACGUGGUAUCCUGUCUGAAUAUGGGGGGACCAUCCUCCAAGGCUAAAUACUCCUGACUGACCGAUAGUGAACCAGUACCGUGAGGGAAAGGCGAAAAGAACCCCGGCGAGGGGAGUGAAAAAGAACCUGAAACCGUGUACGUACAAGCAGUGGGAGCACGCUUAGGCGUGUGACUGCGUACCUUUUGUAUAAUGGGUCAGCGACUUAUAUUCUGUAGCAAGGUUAACCGAAUAGGGGAGCCGAAGGGAAACCGAGUCUUAACUGGGCGUUAAGUUGCAGGGUAUAGACCCGAAACCCGGUGAUCUAGCCAUGGGCAGGUUGAAGGUUGGGUAACACUAACUGGAGGACCGAACCGACUAAUGUUGAAAAAUUAGCGGAUGACUUGUGGCUGGGGGUGAAAGGCCAAUCAAACCGGGAGAUAGCUGGUUCUCCCCGAAAGCUAUUUAGGUAGCGCCUCGUGAAUUCAUCUCCGGGGGUAGAGCACUGUUUCGGCAAGGGGGUCAUCCCGACUUACCAACCCGAUGCAAACUGCGAAUACCGGAGAAUGUUAUCACGGGAGACACACGGCGGGUGCUAACGUCCGUCGUGAAGAGGGAAACAACCCAGACCGCCAGCUAAGGUCCCAAAGUCAUGGUUAAGUGGGAAACGAUGUGGGAAGGCCCAGACAGCCAGGAUGUUGGCUUAGAAGCAGCCAUCAUUUAAAGAAAGCGUAAUAGCUCACUGGUCGAGUCGGCCUGCGCGGAAGAUGUAACGGGGCUAAACCAUGCACCGAAGCUGCGGCAGCGACACUAUGUGUUGUUGGGUAGGGGAGCGUUCUGUAAGCCUGUGAAGGUGUACUGUGAGGUAUGCUGGAGGUAUCAGAAGUGCGAAUGCUGACAUAAGUAACGAUAAAGCGGGUGAAAAGCCCGCUCGCCGGAAGACCAAGGGUUCCUGUCCAACGUUAAUCGGGGCAGGGUGAGUCGACCCCUAAGGCGAGGCCGAAAGGCGUAGUCGAUGGGAAACAGGUUAAUAUUCCUGUACUUGGUGUUACUGCGAAGGGGGGACGGAGAAGGCUAUGUUGGCCGGGCGACGGUUGUCCCGGUUUAAGCGUGUAGGCUGGUUUUCCAGGCAAAUCCGGAAAAUCAAGGCUGAGGCGUGAUGACGAGGCACUACGGUGCUGAAGCAACAAAUGCCCUGCUUCCAGGAAAAGCCUCUAAGCAUCAGGUAACAUCAAAUCGUACCCCAAACCGACACAGGUGGUCAGGUAGAGAAUACCAAGGCGCUUGAGAGAACUCGGGUGAAGGAACUAGGCAAAAUGGUGCCGUAACUUCGGGAGAAGGCACGCUGAUAUGUAGGUGAAGUCCCUCGCGGAUGGAGCUGAAAUCAGUCGAAGAUACCAGCUGGCUGCAACUGUUUAUUAAAAACACAGCACUGUGCAAACACGAAAGUGGACGUAUACGGUGUGACGCCUGCCCGGUGCCGGAAGGUUAAUUGAUGGGGUCAGCGCAAGCGAAGCUCUUGAUCGAAGCCCCGGUAAACGGCGGCCGUAACUAUAACGGUCCUAAGGUAGCGAAAUUCCUUGUCGGGUAAGUUCCGACCUGCACGAAUGGCGUAAUGAUGGCCAGGCUGUCUCCACCCGAGACUCAGUGAAAUUGAACUCGCUGUGAAGAUGCAGUGUACCCGCGGCAAGACGGAAAGACCCCGUGAACCUUUACUAUAGCUUGACACUGAACAUUGAGCCUUGAUGUGUAGGAUAGGUGGGAGGCUUUGAAGUGUGGACGCCAGUCUGCAUGGAGCCGACCUUGAAAUACCACCCUUUAAUGUUUGAUGUUCUAACGUUGACCCGUGAUCCGGGUUGCGGACAGUGUCUGGUGGGUAGUUUGACUGGGGCGGUCUCCUCCUAAAGAGUAACGGAGGAGCACGAAGGUUGGCUAAUCCUGGUCGGACAUCAGGAGGUUAGUGCAAUGGCAUAAGCCAGCUUGACUGCGAGCGUGACGGCGCGAGCAGGUGCGAAAGCAGGUCAUAGUGAUCCGGUGGUUCUGAAUGGAAGGGCCAUCGCUCAACGGAUAAAAGGUACUCCGGGGAUAACAGGCUGAUACCGCCCAAGAGUUCAUAUCGACGGCGGUGUUUGGCACCUCGAUGUCGGCUCAUCACAUCCUGGGGCUGAAGUAGGUCCCAAGGGUAUGGCUGUUCGCCAUUUAAAGUGGUACGCGAGCUGGGUUUAGAACGUCGUGAGACAGUUCGGUCCCUAUCUGCCGUGGGCGCUGGAGAACUGAGGGGGGCUGCUCCUAGUACGAGAGGACCGGAGUGGACGCAUCACUGGUGUUCGGGUUGUCAUGCCAAUGGCACUGCCCGGUAGCUAAAUGCGGAAGAGAUAAGUGCUGAAAGCAUCUAAGCACGAAACUUGCCCCGAGAUGAGUUCUCCCUGACCCUUUAAGGGUCCUGAAGGAACGUUGAAGACGACGACGUUGAUAGGCCGGGUGUGUAAGCGCAGCGAUGCGUUGAGCUAACCGGUACUAAUGAACCGUGAGGCUUAACCUU
RNAcentral lists this ribosomal RNA (2901 nucleotides) under Escherichia coli. Its description in RNAcentral is "bacterial LSU rRNA". It matches the Rfam family "Bacterial large subunit ribosomal RNA". The record is from RNAcentral. Lineage: Bacteria; Pseudomonadati; Pseudomonadota; Gammaproteobacteria; Enterobacterales; Enterobacteriaceae.